GAACAGGAUUAGAUACCCUGGUAGUCCACGCCGUAAACGGUGGGCGCUAGUUGUGCGAACCUUCCACGGUUUGUGCGACGCAGCUAACGCAUUAAGCGCCCCGCCUGGGGAGUACGAUCGCAAGAUUAAAACUCAAAGGAAUUGACGGGGCCCCGCACAAGCAGCGGAGCAUGCGGCUUAAUUCGACGCAACGCGAAGAACCUUACCAAGGCUUGACAUAUACAGGAAUAUGGCAGAGAUGUCAUAGCCGCAAGGUCUGUAUACAGGUGGUGCAUGGUUGUCGUCAGCUCGUGUCGUGAGAUGUUGGGUUAAGUCCCGCAACGAGCGCAACCCUCGUUCUGUGUUGCCAGCAUUUAGUUGGGGACUCACAGGAGACUGCCGGGGUUAACUCGGAGGAAGGUGGGGAUGACGUCAAAUCAUCAUGCCCCUUAUGUCUUGGGCUGCACGCAUGCUACAAUGGCUGGUACAAACGGCUGCGAUACCGCAAGGUGGAGCGAAUCCGAUAAAGCCAGUCUCAGUUCGGAUUGGGGUCUGCAACUCGACCCCAUGAAGUCGGAGUUGCUAGUAAUCGUAGAUCAGCAACGCUACGGUGAAUACGUUCCCGGGGCUUGUACACACCGCCCGUCACAUCACGAAAGUCGGUAACACCCAAAGUCAGUGGCCCAACCGCAAGGAGGGAGCUGCCAAAG
RNAcentral lists this ribosomal RNA (689 nucleotides) under uncultured Actinomycetes bacterium. RNAcentral's name for it is "bacterial SSU rRNA". It matches the Rfam family "Bacterial small subunit ribosomal RNA", at positions 770 to 1461 of the family's 1533-position model. Lineage: Bacteria; Bacillati; Actinomycetota; Actinomycetes. The record is from RNAcentral.